Molecule: ribosomal RNA, 432 nt
Filed under: uncultured bacterium
Lineage: Bacteria
Description: partial 16S ribosomal RNA
Rfam family: Bacterial small subunit ribosomal RNA
Source: RNAcentral
AACGAACGCUGGCGGCAUGCCUAACACAUGCAAGUCGAACGAGACCUUCCGGUCUUGUGGCGCACGGGUGCGUAACGCGUGGUAACCUGCCCUUAGGUUCGGAAUAACUCCCCGAAAGGUGUCCUAAUACCGGUUAAUGUCUUCGGACCAAAGAUCUAUCGCCUUUGGAUGGGCCCGCGUUGGAUUAGCUAGUUGGUAGGGUAAAAGCCUACCAAGGCGACGAUCCAUAGCUGGUGGGAGAGGAUGAUCAGCCACACUGGGACUGAGACACGGCCCAGACUCCUACGAGAGGCAGCAGUGGGGAAUAUUGGACAAUGGGCGAAAGCCUGAUCCAGCAAGGCCGCGUGAGUGAUGAAGGCCUUAGGGUUGUAAAGCUCUUUUACCCGGGAUGAUAAUGACAGUACCGGGAGAAUAAGCUCCGGCUAACUCCGU